UAUGCUGGAUAAUCCAAAAAAGAAAACCAAAGUGUGGACCGCUAUAUCAGAUGGUUUAAAGCAAUUUGAUGUUGAGCAUGGAUCAACAGUCAACAUCUCACAAUAUAUCGUACAUCUAAUUACCUUGUUAACUGUAUAUGGACAAUUUAUACAAAAUUAAAUAGGAACUUUAAACCAACAAUGAUUUCCCCAUGCAUCGUCAUCAAAGUCAUAACUCGAUAAAUAAAAAAUCACAGCUAUGCAUUAACAUAAAUGUUAUAAAAUCUUAUUUGAUAUCAACCAAGCAAAUGGUGUUAUUCAUCUCAAUUCUAUCGUUCGACUGUGACAACAU
Trachymyrmex cornetzi is the source of this 331-nucleotide long non-coding RNA. RefSeq lists it as uncharacterized. The transcript is spliced from 3 exons. Lineage: Eukaryota; Metazoa; Arthropoda; Insecta; Hymenoptera; Formicidae. The record is from RefSeq and is a predicted model, not a curated record.